UACGUAGGGGCCUAGCGUUGUCCGGAAUCAUUGGGCGUAAAGAGCGUGUAGGCGGCCCGGUAAGUCCGCUGUGAAAGUCGGGGGCUCAACCCUCGAAUGCCGGUGGAUACUGUCGGGCUAGAGUGCGGAAGAGGCGAGUGGAAUUCCUGGUGUAGCGGUGAAAUGCGCAGAUAUCAGGAGGAACACCAAUUGCGAAGGCAGCUCGCUGGGACGUAACUGACGCUGAGACGCGAAAGCGUGGGGAGCAAACAGG
Molecule: ribosomal RNA, 253 nt
Filed under: uncultured bacterium
Lineage: Bacteria
Description: partial 16S ribosomal RNA
Rfam family: Bacterial small subunit ribosomal RNA
Source: RNAcentral